Molecule: ribosomal RNA, 468 nt
Filed under: uncultured bacterium
Lineage: Bacteria
Description: partial 16S ribosomal RNA
Rfam family: Bacterial small subunit ribosomal RNA
Source: RNAcentral
GACGAACGCUGGCGGCGUGCUUAACACAUGCAAGUCGAACGGAAAGGCCCUGCUUUUGUGGGGUGCUCGGGUGGCGAAGGGGUGAGUAACACGUGAGUAACCUGCCCUUGACUUUGGGAUAACUUCAGGAAGCUGGGGCUAAUACCGGAUAGGAGCUCCUGCUGCAUGGUGGGGGUUGGAAAGUUUCGGUGGUUGGGGAUGGACUCGCGGCGUAUCAGCUUGUUGGUGGGGUAGUGGCUUACCAAGGCUUUGAAGGGUAGCCGGCCUGAGAGGGUGACCGGACACAUUGGGACUGAGAUACGGCCCAGACUCCUACGGGAGGCAGCAGUGGGGAAUAUUGCACAAUGGGCGGAAGCCUGAUGCAGCAACGCCGCGUGCGGGAUGACGGCCUUCGGGUUGUAAACCGCUUUCGCCUGUGACGAAGCGUGAGUGACGGUAAUGGGUAAAGAAGCACCGGCUAACUACGUG